AACGAACGCUGGCGGCAGGCCUCAAACAUGCAAGUCUAGGGGGUGCAGCAAUGCAUCACCGGCGGACGGGUGCGUAACGCGUGGGAAUAUACCUUUUGGUUCGGAACAACUGCGGGAAACUGCAGCUAAUACCGAAUGUGCCCUAACGGGGAAAGAUUUAUCGCCUAAAGGAUUAGCCCGCGUAGGAUUAGCUAGUUGGUGAGGUAAUGGCUCACCAAGGCUCCGAUCCUUAGCUGCUGAG
This 241-nucleotide ribosomal RNA is filed under the name uncultured bacterium. RNAcentral's name for it is "partial 16S ribosomal RNA". It matches the Rfam family "Bacterial small subunit ribosomal RNA", at positions 29 to 294 of the family's 1533-position model. The record is from RNAcentral.